ACCCUUAAGCCUAGCUUAGUAUUGGGAACCUACGUGCGGCAGCUACCCUGUAGCUACCCUGUAGCUCCUUAAAGACAACGGCGGAGACGUGGAGUCCUCUGAGCUUAGUAACUUUUCUAGCUUCUGAAGGCGCCGCGGCCCCUGCCGUAAAACCCCCCAACUCUUUAGUGGUUGACCUCGGAUCAGGUAGGAAUACCCGCUGAACUUAAGCAUAUCAAUAAGCGGAGGAAAAGAAACCAACAGGGAUUGCCUUAGUAACGGCGAGUGAAGCGGCAACAGCUCAAAUUUGAAAGCUGGCCUUCGGGUCCGCGUUGUAAUUUGUAGAGGAUGCUUUUGGUUAGGUGCCUUACGAGUUCCCUGGAACGGGACGCCUUAGAGGGUGAGAGCCCCGUACGUUUGGUUACCGAGCCUCUGUAAAGCUCCUUCGACGAGUCGAGUAGUUUGGGAAUGCUGCUCUAAAUGGGAGGUAAAUUUCUUUUAAAGCUAAAUACCGGCCAGAGUCCGAUAGCGCACAAGUAGAGUGAUCGAAAGAUGAAAAGCACUUUGAAAAGAGGGUUAAAUAGCACGUGAAAUUGUUGAAAGG
This 583-nucleotide ribosomal RNA is filed under the name Sordariomycetes sp. RNAcentral describes it as "eukaryotic LSU rRNA". The stretch from base 173 to 583 matches the Rfam family "Eukaryotic large subunit ribosomal RNA", at positions 1 to 415 of the family's 3401-position model. Lineage: Eukaryota; Fungi; Ascomycota; Sordariomycetes. The record is from RNAcentral.